Tupaia belangeri chinensis (Chinese tree shrew) is the source of this 512-nucleotide long non-coding RNA. RefSeq lists it as uncharacterized. Lineage: Eukaryota; Metazoa; Chordata; Mammalia; Scandentia; Tupaiidae. The transcript is spliced from 4 exons. The record is from RefSeq and is a predicted model, not a curated record.
GGGCGACUUUUUCAGAUUCUCUCUCCUCCUGUGGCACUCAGUUCCUUUUGCGUGGUCGCUGGGGAGAACCUGCCACUGUGCUGACCGUGCUCUGCCUGACACGGUGUCCAUGACAGUCAGUCUGAGCGUGAAGGAGGAGGGUUUGAAGACCCUAGUCAUGGAGAGGUGGCCCUCUUCCUUGAGUGGACAAAAUUUGGAUAAUCUUACCUUCUCCUGAAGCACUGGAUGCUGCUCAGAGAUUUGGACCAACUUUUAGAAGGGAUAGAGAGUUUGACUGAGACAGUCUCUAGUUAUCACAUGGACCCUAAAAGUGGCACAACAUAUUCUGUUAUUUCAACAACAAGGAUGAACUUGGAGGACAUUAUGCUGAUUGAAAUAAUUCAAGUACACAAAGACAUAUACCUCAUCAUCUCACAUGUCUCAAACAGCUCAGAUGGAAGGCUGAAAGUGAUGACUGCUUCAAUUUUUGCUGUUCAACCAUUUUUCUUGAUCUUGUUUUCUGAUCUCAUACA